UGAACUUUCCAUUGUCCCCAGUCUUCAAAAACCUCUGCACAUCCUCAAAGAUGCAUUUUCUUUGAAUGCAAGAAAUAGUUGUCUUAGUUUCGUCCAACCAAUGAUUUUAGUUUUAAAGAAAUGGUAAUUUAUUUUCUGUAGGCACUUUGAUUUUCAUGGUUAGUUCCACUGUUUUAUACAUAAACUAGUGAAACCAUACCUAACCUAAUAAGGCUGGGUAAGGUUUGUUAUGCAUACAGGAAAGAUUAAGAUUGACACUAGACAUACCUAAUAAUUUUGUUAACUGCCAUCCCAUAUAAUGGAUAGUGUUAAUUUUCACAGGAAAUGGUAUUAUUAAGUGUUGUUUCUAUUGACCAAAUUAAGUCAUACCAUACAUCAAAUAAUUAGUAUGACCCAGGUGCCUGUAUACACACACAUACACACACACACAAAUGCAUCAUUAUUAAAGCCUUUUUUCCUUCCAACACCUGUGCUCCUGCAUCACAAACUUUAAGAAUAUCCCAAAAUGCUUUUCUACCCACUCUGUCAUAAGCCUUCUCUAGGUGAAUGUUGCAUAUAAUAUUUAUCUUUACCUGAGCAUGCCUUUAUUAUAAUUCUGAUUGCAAAAAUAUUCUCCAUAAUGCUUUCCUUUCUUAAAACAUCUAUGUUCCUCUAUGACCAUCAGCUUUAUCAAUAACUUACAUCAAUCAAUAGUUAAGACUCUCCCACAGACUUUUCCUGACACACUAAGCAAACCUAUCCCCCUGUAACUUUUGCACAUUCCUAUAACCCUUACCUUUAUAUGUACAAUAAUUGCCUCAAUCCACUCAUCAGUUACUGCCUCUCAUUGUUUCCAUGCCAGUUCCCAUAAUUGAAAUCAUCCAGUCCGCUAUCACUUCUCCAUACUUUAACUCUCUGCAGCUAUUCCAUCAAUGCCUAUAGCUUUGCCACACUUCACAACUAUUGUUUUCUAUUGUUUUUCCCCAUCUCCCUAACAAUUUCUCAUUCUCUACCUGCUUUCAUACUCAUGCUAAUUAUUAUUGCUUCUCCUGUCAUCUCAUUCAUUUGACAAUCAGUCUUUUCCAUGUAACUUACACAUCUUUCUUGCUGCUUUCAAGAACUUUAUACCCUCUCUUUAUUCUCACAAUCCCAUGCUUUUCUCCCCCUCUCUUUCUUGACUUUCUUCCAGAACAACUUAUUGUCAUUGAUUUUUUUUACAUUCAGUUUUCUACCAAACUUCUCAUCCACUCUCAUCUUACUUUCUCUUAUGAGUUCCUUCACUUUCAUAUUUCAAGACCUAUACUCUAAUUUCUCCUCAUGUUAAUUUCCUCUGACACAUUUCUCGGCAACAUUUUAUCAUAGGCCCUCUUCUCUUCCACAGCCACUUCCAUCUCGGCUAUCACCAUGCACUUUUUUUACUCUUAUCCCCAAGACUCCUUGCAGCUGCUUUGUAAUUACCAUAUCACUGAAUACUUUUAACAUCUUUACCCUCUGAGCCCUCCCCAAAUAUCCCUAACUUCUCUGUCUUUCACAUAUCUUCUUACAUUCCUCUCUACUACACACCUUCCUGUCCAGCUAUUCAAAUAACUUUCCACCAAUAUGCAUAUCACUGAUGUAUCUUUCAUUUUCAUCACAGCAUAGUGGUCUGACUAGAGUUCUAUUUAACUCUGUGGGACACACCCAUCAAGCAUCCCAUGGCAUGCCACACAUUUCCUUAAUUAAUCUCUCAUCCACUGCUAAAGUCAGUCACACUUUUCUGUUAAUUUUUAUCUUGAUAUCUCCUCCAUGUGAACCAGUGGAUCAUUUUAUGCUGGAAGGUAUUUUUUUAGUACACAACCAUGAAAUUCAUGCAUUCAUAACUAUCCCACCAGAAGUAUGUUCAUUGUACCAUGACAUGCUCUCUUUACUGCACAUACAGGAAUGAGAUAUAUUCAUUUACUCACAAACAAUAUAUUAGUAUGACACAAUAAUGCCAAUUUAGACUUGUUCCCUGACUUAUGCCAAGAGUAUGUUGUGUUGAGGACCACAAAUAUGUUCAUUAUAGCAUGACUUGCUAUCUUUACUGCACUUGUAGUAGUAAGGUAUGUGGAACAUUAAAUUCUCCAUCAAUUUACACACAAAUAAUGUCUCAAUACAUCAUAAUAAUGCCAAAAUGAGCUUCUUCCCUAUGUAGUCAUGGUGCCAUCACUAUUUAGGGACCAAAUAUAUGUUUAUUACUUCAUAUUUCCUUACUUUUCCUUACACACUAUUUUUUUUUUUUUUUUUGCAUAUACAACAUUGAGAUACAUACAUUGCUCGUGACUAUACACAAUAAGCAUGUAUACCUUCUCCAUAAUCCUGUUGUAAGCUGCCAUGCCACACUUUCUGCAAGCCACAACAUCUACUCCCAAGCCACACAUGUGUAGAAGACAUACCUAAACACUGUCCAUGCCACACUUUGUUUCAUGACAUCAGGCCUAUGGCUGGAUUCAUCAAACUUACCAGCUAGACCCUCUUACAAGGGCCAAGUUACCAUACUGCUACCAGAGCUGGUAAAUUGCUAUUCAGUAAUGACAUAGUAGGGGUCUGGUAAGGUAUGAGACCUGUUGCAGCUAGUAGCUGCCAGAGGGUUCUGGAAGCAGGGAACAGCCAAUCAACUCCAAGCUUACAUAAGAUGUGGUAGGCUUACAUAUGCAUGUGCUUACAAACAUAUGGCUUGAAAUUCAGAAUAUUUCAGUACAUGCAUGUAUAAUACCUCUGUCAUUUUAGUUAAUGGUGCCUCAUGAGGUGUUUUAUCAUUAUAAUGUUUAAUAAAAUGUUCACUCUACAUGGCCAGUGCCUAAUCUGUAUACAUAUAUCUAAAAAAAACCAUCACUAGCAUUGAAACAAAAAAAAAAUGAUAAAAAAAUGGCCUCACAUAAAAAUAUUAUUGAAUUUUACACGUUACCCUUCAUUACCUACUGUCAAGCAAAUCAUUGGCUUACAGCAGCAUCAAACAUGAAAAUGGCAGAACCUGCUAGCAAGAAACAGCACCCCAACUUCUCCAGUGGGAAACUCCUGAUGCUCCUUUUAGUGGUCGUCAAAGUAAGGUGGAAUACAAUUGUUGGCCCUCUCUCCUUGCCUCACCAGCACCAUGAAGGAGCAUGUGUGGGUUGCUGUGGUGGCUGAAGUGAACGCUGUGAGCUGCGUACUAUCAGGAGCCUCAGUGAAGUGAGGAACAAGUUCACUGAAUUUAAAAGCAACACAAAAAAAAGAAAGUUGCUGAACUGCACAAGGAGCAGGCAGCUACAGGUGGAGGGCCAAGCACUCAACUUACCCUGACAGAUGUCGAGAAACUAAUGGCACAGCUGUUGGAUCCUGUUGCAGUGAUAGGCAUGCCUAGCAGUCUUGAGACAGAGCAGGAGGAGGUCACAGUCAUGGAUGAAGAGGGCCAUAUGGAACAAUAUAUUUUGCCUCAUCAUUCAGCCACACUUGCUGAUGUAGCUGAGGCAUCCAGAUUGUCCUCACCUCAGCCAGGGCCAACCCAGCAAAGCCACCACCAUCCAUCAUCAGUGCAGCCCACAUCACUCCGCACUCUCCUUAUCCAGCCCUCUUCAUUCCACACUCUCCCUGUCCAGCCCUCAUCAUUCCACACUCUCACUGUCCAGCCUUCAUCACUCAGCACUCUCCCUGUCCAACCCUUAUCACUCCACCCUCUCCCUGUCCAGCCCUCAUCACUCUCAUCACUAUCUCCCUCUCAAGCUCCUUCACCUGCUUUUGGGUUCAGCAGGAAUCAAAACACCACUGCCAUCACGAUCUACCUCUCAACCUCCUUCACCUGCUGCUGGACUUAGCAGUCAGCACACUCCACAUGGAGCUCAUCUCCAUCUCCCCCUCAAGAAACUUUGCCAGCUGCUGGUCUGGUCCCAGGUGGAGGCACACAGGCAGAAAAUCUGGCAAUGCCUUGGAUGAUGGAGAUACAGGAAGGCAUCCUCACAGAAACCAGAAAUAUGAGGGUUGCCAUGGAGAGGUUGGGAAGCCAAUUAGAAAUAAUGAAUAAUAAUUUAAAUUAGUAUAUGGGUUUGAGAGCCAGCUGCCUUGUAAAAAUUACUGAAAAAAAUUAAUGAUAAGAUUUGCUGUUUGCUGUUAGUUUUAUGUUAUUAGCAUGUUCUUUCUAAGUUUUAGUAUGAUAGAUUAUUAUUAUGUUACUUUUUAGUCUUAUUAUAAUAGUACAUUAUUAGCAUGUUACUUUUAUGUUUAAUUAUAUAUUAUUAGCAUAUUAUUUUUUAAUGUAACUAUGGUAGUAGAUUAUUAGCUUUACUUUUAAGAU
Molecule: long non-coding RNA, 4267 nt
Organism: Scylla paramamosain (green mud crab)
Lineage: Eukaryota; Metazoa; Arthropoda; Malacostraca; Decapoda; Portunidae
Exons: 3
Source: RefSeq, a predicted model, not a curated record